This is a long non-coding RNA of Xenopus laevis (African clawed frog), 201 nucleotides long. RefSeq lists it as uncharacterized. The transcript has 3 exons. Lineage: Eukaryota; Metazoa; Chordata; Amphibia; Anura; Pipidae. The record is from RefSeq and is a predicted model, not a curated record.
CAGGCUCUGGUGAGAUGUAGCUGGGGCUCGACUCUAGAUUGUGAGACAGCCGCACUGCUGGAGGAGCCUGGCACCAUCUUUAGGUAUAUGUGGUUGCUGUGGGACAUUACACCCGCGUUACAAACGCUUGGUGGGUAACAUCUUUCCCGAGGACCCCAGGGUAUGGGAUCCAGCAGCACAGAGCAUGUGCAGUGAAUCAGC